This 403-nucleotide ribosomal RNA is filed under the name Fusobacteriota bacterium. Its description in RNAcentral is "Fusobacteria bacterium partial 16S ribosomal RNA". It matches the Rfam family "Bacterial small subunit ribosomal RNA", at positions 355 to 776 of the family's 1533-position model. The record is from RNAcentral. Lineage: Bacteria; Fusobacteriati; Fusobacteriota.
UGGGGAAUAUUGCACAAUGGGGGAAACCCUGAUGCAGCGACGCCGCGUGAGCGAAGAAGGUUUUCGAAUCGUAAAGCUCUCUCCUAUGGGAAGAUAAUGACGGUACCAUCGGAGGAAGCCCCGGCUAACUACGUGCCAGCAGCCGCGGUAAUACGUAGGGGGCAAGCGUUGCCCGGAAUCACUGGGCGUAAAGGGUUCGCAGGCGGAAAUGCAAGUCAGUUGUGAAAGUCAGAGGCUCAACCUCUGUAAGCAAUUGAAACUGUAUUUCUUGAGAUGUGGAGACGCAAGUGGAAUUCCUAGUGUAGCGGUGAAAUGCGUAGAUAUUAGGAAGAAUACCGGUGGCGAAGGCGACUUGCUGGACACAAACUGACGCUGAGGAACGAAAGCGUGGGUAGCAAACAGG